This is a non-coding RNA of Rattus norvegicus (Norway rat), 5681 nucleotides long. NCBI's taxonomy places the organism in Eukaryota, Metazoa, Chordata, Mammalia, Rodentia, Muridae. The record is from RefSeq and is a predicted model, not a curated record.
UGAUGGGACGAGGAGGACACCAGAUUGCACGGCAGGUCCCCUAACUGAACUCAGCAAGCCCUUCAGGUCUUCCUCCACCAGACUCCUCGAGGGACAGUGUUCAAGACCCCGGCAGGGCUGUGGAUGCCGUUCAGUUGGAAGCAGAGGCAGGAGACUCAGAAGCUCAAGAACAUCUCCAGCUACACAGCAAGUUCAAGACCACUACGUGAAACCCUGCCUCAGACCUAGCAGUGGGCUGGAGAAAUGGCUCAGGAGUUAGAUCUCAAGUUACCCAGGCUGGUUUUGAACUUAUUCUAUAAUCCAGACGGGCCUUGAAUUUGCAGUCCUCCUGCCUUAGGUUUGUGAGUAGCUACGAUUUCAGCUGCCUGCCACCAGGCCUGUCUUGUGUCAUUUCUUUUUUUUUUUUUUUUGGUUCUUUUUUUUUGGAGCUGGGGACCGAACCCAGGGCCUUGUGCUUCCUAGGUAAGCGCUCUACCACUGAGCUAAAUCCCCAGCCCCUUGUGUUCAUUUCUUAUCCAUCUUCUGAUCACCUACACCCCAUGCCUUUGGAAUUGCAGUAAAUUCGGAGUCCUGAGCCCCUCCACCCUACUCAGUGAAACCCAGAACAUGCAUUUUCAGUACAGUCCAACAGGACUGUGGAAACUCUCUCCUUCCCAUGCUAAGCCCUCUUGCCAGGAUCCGCCUCUCUCGCAGCAAAAAAGCCUGGGGGGGGGGGGACCCUCCCUGUUAGAACCCCUACUGUCCCAGUUUUCCUCCCGUGGGUGAGGACCCUGCCCCUAUAAAUGGCCUUGUCAGAGAAGAUUUUAGAAGGUAAAGACAAGCCAGCUUAGAGCAGAGUUGUGAUGGGGGCACUGGGUGAGGACAGAGGCUGAACUUCCCAGACAAAGAACAAGGCUUAAUCAUAUUGCCCAAGGGCUACGAUCCAGCUCUGCCCAGAGCCUUGAAGAGACUGAGAAAUAAGCCAUUUGUUCCUCUUUGGCGUGGGAAGAGCUCUGGUUAGAGAGGCAGCCUGGUCUGCACGUAAGGCUCAGCUCAGGCCUCCCCGGCUGUGUGACCUUGAACACUGACUUCAUCUUCUGUGGUGCUCGGUUCCCCCCUGAGACAGAAAGCAUUCAUCACACAGCCCUUAUAAAGAGUAGACACAGUGACAUAAGGACUGCUCUGGGCUGCUGCUUGUUGAAUGUGUGAGUGGGUAAGUAAAAGAGAAUAGAGGGGGCUGGGGAGAUGGCUCACCAGUUAAGAGUGUGUGCUGCUCUUACAGAGGACCCCACUUUGGUUCCCAGCACCCACAUAGUUCACUAUCAUUCCAGGAGAGAUCCAUGUCUUCUUCUGACCUCCAAGGGCACAGGCAUACAUGUGGUUCACAUACAUGCAGGCACUCACUCCCAUACAUAAAAUAAAAUUUGAAAAAGUGGAUGGAUGGAGGGAUGGAUGGAAGGAUGGAUAGAUGGAUGAACGUAUGGAUGGAUAUAUAGAUGGAUGGAUGGAUGGACGGACGGAUGGAUAUAUAGAUGGAUAAAUGGAUAGAUGGAUGGAUGGAUGGAUGAUACUGGGAUGGAUGCAUGGACAGAUGGGACAGACAGAUGGAUGGAUGAAUGAAUGGGUGGAUGGAUGGAUGGAUGGAUAGACAGAUGGACAGAUGAUGGAUGGACAGAUACAUGGAUGGACAAAUGGAUGGAUGGAUGAAUGGAUGGAUGGAUGAUAAUGGGAUGGAUGCAUGGACAGAUGGACAGACAGAUGGAUGGAUGGAUGGAUGCAUGGAUGGAUGAUGGAUGGAUGGAUGGAUAGACGAAUGGACAGAUGAUGGAUGGACAGAUACAUGGAUGGACAAAUGGACGGAUGGAUGGAUGGAUGGAUAGACAGGUGGAUGGAUAGACAGAUGGAUAAAUAGAUGAAUGGAUGAAUGGUCCAUUCCUUCUUCCAGUUCUCCCAAAGUCCCUCUCUCAGCCAUCAUGCUGAUGUCAAGGCUUUCUUAUGUGGCACCAGGACUCCUUCGUGCAGGGUACACAUAUAUCAGGACACAGCAGCAAACUGCUGGCUCAGCUCAGGACACCUCUCUGGCCAGUAUCUCAGCACAGCCCUGUGUGUAGACCUGUUUGGAAAAAUCAGGUGUGUGGGUGGGACACAGAUUUGGGUCCAGGAAGACAAGGCGGAGAGAGUUAGCAGGUGGCCAUAGCUAAACAAGAGAAAGCAGUCCUAUGCGGAGUAUCCGGAGAAGAUUCGUGAAGAGGUGACUUCUCGGUCUUUAAGAAUGGGUGUGGGGUUGGGGAUUUAGCUCAGCGGAAGAGCGCUUGCCUAGCGAGCGCAAGGCCCUGGGUUCGGUCCCCAGCUCCGAAAAAAAGAAAAAAGAAGAAGAAGAAGAAGAAGAAGAAGAAGAAGAAGAAGAAGAAGAAGAAGAAGAAGAAGAAGAAGAAGAAAAAGAAUGGGAGCACCCAAGCUGGAAGAAGAGUGGUCCAAGGAGAGAGAACAACCUAAGCAAAGGCAGGAACAAAAGCGGAGAACCCCUCACUCCACAGCCUGAAGUCUUCAUACCAUGAACACAGCUGAAAGCAAGCCAUCUAGAAUCUUCCAGUAAAGAUGUCCACUGUCAGUUGCUCAGAGGUCAAAGCAGUGCUUCCCCUGAGCCACUAAGGCUCCCUACAAGCUCAAAGCCAUCUGAGAGUCUCCAAACCUAAGACCAGACGUGUCAGUCUUGCCAAGGAAGCCUAAGGGGGUUAGUGAGGGCAAACGAUUUUCCAGGAAUGUUCUGUGAGAGCUUCCCACUCUCGCCCAUGCUUGGCUGGAUCACAGGUCAGUCUUGGCAUGAGUCUUAGGCAAUACCAGUCCCCCAGGCUCAAGCCUACUCCCCACCCCUCACAGUUAUGACCCAGGAUAUCCACGGCCUAUGGCCAUCUUUCUGGGAGCAGCCAGGCUGGAGGCGAGGCAUGGGAGACAAGCCUACAGAGGGGCUUUCUGGAGGCUCAUCUGAGAGCAGAGCCUUGUAGCAAUCCCCAGGUGCUCCCCUCUAAAGCUGGCUGAAAGGUCUCUGGAUGAGAAGAAGGCUGACUUGAGGUGGCAUUCCUGUUGGUCACAUGACUUCAAACAUGUCAAUGGCCCUGGAGCUCCAGCUAGCUUCAGUAUCUGGGACAGUUUCAUCUUCCUGUCUGGGGUUCCUCCCCUUCCUAGACCCCACUGCUCUCUGACAUUCACUGAGGAAAAGAAGGCACAGAUCAGUCAGGCCUGGUGGCUUUAACCCAGCCCUAGGGAGGCUGACAAAGUCAGAGCUCUAAAUUCAAGGCCAGCCUGAUCUACAGAGCGAGUUCCUGGACAGGGCUACACAGAGACAGAAAGACCCUGAAAAAAAAUAAUAAAAGUAAAAUAGAAUCCACCUCUCCUCCUGGCAUAUUUCAAGCCUUGUCUCAUGGCCCCUUAGAGAGAUGGGGGCACUGCGGGCCUCGUCCUCCAGGUCUUCACAUCCAUUAGUGCGAAACUGCUACCUGAUCUACCAAGAAGCUACACCUAGAGGACACUAAAGACAAUGCCAACUUGUUUGGCUAACACCACUCGGUCCCAAAGCUGAGCUAGAGAGACGUAUUCUGCUCAACGUGUUCUGUACCCGAAAGAAACGUGUAUGUCCACAAGUAGGUGUGCACACGAAUGUUUCAAUCAUGGAGGUUCAAAUUGGAGCAUCCCAAAUGCCUGUGCGCAGUGGGUGGUUAAACCGACUUCGAUGUGCUCAUGCACUGGAACACUCCACAGUGACUAAAACAACAAAAAGCAUCAGGCAGGGAGACUCUCGAAGGCAUUAUGUUGAAGAAAAUCAACCAGACACAAAGCCACCAUCUGAUACCAUCAGUAUGAAGAUCAACAACCUAUGAUGGUAAAAGUCAGACCCAGGGGUGGUCUUCUCUGGAGAAGAGCACGAGGUGGUCUUGAAGUAUUUAAUGCGUUGGUCUGUGCUUAUAUGGGUAUAGACACGAGAACGGCAACCUAGCCAGAUGUUCUAAGUUCAAUAAACUCAAUUGCAUAUAAAUUAUCAAGAGGAAUGGACCCAGUCACAUAGGCUCUAACCCAAACAGAACAGAGUUCUGGGUUAAGGGGAAGAAGAAAUGAAAGGAGCAGACAGUGGGAGAGCUAAGGCCCAGGGCUGGUGGGCAGCACAGUGCAGGGCUGGUUGUGCUACUUACAGCCUAGGAAGGCUGAGUGGCUUCACCAGGGAGGAGCUGCCAGGCGUACAAGCAAGGACCUGGCCAAGCACCUUCAGUGGGUCUCCUGCACAGGGCUGGCAUCUUGUGAGCCGAGGUGGCACCUACCUUCCAAGCACACUGUCUGCCCACCUCCUUUUUUCCUUCCUAACAGCUGUGGGGCAAAGGAAAGACUGAGCCCCAUGUCUGUCUUUUGUUCCAAGUAACAGUCAAACCCAAUUUGCCCAAAUGUGCUUGAAUAAAAAGAUAUAGAGGAGGGUUUGAAAUUAUGGAUCAAUUGAUAGAGUACUUGCUUGGGAUGUGUGAAGACAUGGGUUUGAUCCCCAGCACCACAGAAACCAGGCACAGGGCACAUGCUGUAGUUAGAGCACUCAUGGAGUAGGGACAGCAAAAUAAAAAGUUCAGGGUUGGGGCUGCAAAAGUAGACCAGCAGCUAAGAGCCUGUGUUGCUUUGCAGAGGACCUGAGUUCGAUUCCCAGCACCCACAGAGUGGUUAACAUCUUUAAUUCUGGUUGCGGAGGAUCAGAACCCCUCACUCAGCUGCCUCAAGCACCACACACACAGUACACAGAUAUGCACACACACACACACGCAUGCACACACACACACACACACACACACACACACACAUACACGGCACAUGGAUGUGCAUGAAGAUAGGAUACGGAUACACAUAAAAUCUUAGAAAGUUCAGGAUCAUGCUCAGCUGAAGUGAGUUUGAAGCCAGCCUAUAUGAGAGCCUGCUAACUACGGAUAAACGAGCGACAUGUGCAAGGAGCAAGUGCCAUUUACUUUCUCUCAAACAGAACCUCUGGACAACCUGCCAUUAGAGAAUAUUCUAGAAAACCGCAGGGAGCCUGCCAUUGUCUGGGCUCUGUGGAAGAUGAUAGGUGACCCUAUUAACAGAAUGAAAGUCUAGCUGUGUCUCCUGUGUGUUCUGUUCCUUACUUUGUGGUUCUCUGACCAUCUCCACAUCCCUCAGUGGCUCCUCACCCUGGCCUGCCCCUGUGCAGCACCCCGACCCGUCCGUUGUACCCUAGUCUUCCCGCUGUUCCUUGACUUCUUGCCUUGGACCUCAGAUCUAAGUAAGCUUUCUACAGCAAUACAGAGAGACCAAGUGCUGUCCUUGGUAGACAGUUUUUUUUUCCUUAAGAACCCAGAGGAGGUGAAAACCAAACUUGAGGCACUGCUUUCCAGUGUCUGGGCAGGCAAUUCCAGAUCCAUGUGUGCUGUUCAUCCUACAGUGUGGCCCGGGGCUAACGAGGAUGUCUGGGCUCAUAGUCAGAAAGCUGGGGAUCCCGUAGAGGGCAGAAUCGCCAGGCUCCCUGCACCUGCAUGAGCCGGCGGGAAAGUGAACACAUCUUCUACAGCAUCAUCUCUGAAAUGAUGGAGGACACUUAGGGCAGGGCGCAGGAACUCUACAGCCAGACUCAACUCUGUCCUCUCUUCCCUGGACAGCCCCUGCCGUAGCCACACUGGCCUGUUCUCAUGAAGCCU